UCCUCGGGCAGGGUGUGACACAGGUUUCUUCUUGUCUUGAGGAUGAGUGAAGAAGCCCACAGCCACAUGGGUAUUUUCGCAGCUUCCCAUGGGGGAAAGGCUGACCCUGGAUAGAAUGGCAGGAGAAUUUAAUUUUAGGAUUUGGGAAGAAGGAAUUAUUGUUAAGUAUCUCAGAAGAAUCAAGAUUUGGGAGCAGGAAGUGAAGACUUAUCCAAAUUAAAGAUUGUGCUAAUUUAUUACAACCAUGUAUACUGAAAACAAGCAUGUUGGGAGCCUUGAAAGAAAUCAGAAGAGAUUCUGAGGAGGUAGCUAAGGAAUCCCAGAUCACCUAAGAGUUUGGAAAGAAGAAAGAGGGCAUGGCACACCCAGGGGAAUGACGCCUCUGCACCCCAGCCUGGCCUCACAAGCACUGUAGUGGUUAUAUACGAGGCUCUGGGGGCUUUCUGCUGGAAUCCUCCUCCUGCUCUGCCAUGACCAGUUGUGAUUCUGGGCAAUUUACUUAGUCUCUGUCAGCCUUCCCCAUCCACUGGAGGAGAGAUAGUUUUAACUCAUGUCACUGUGAUAACUGCA
Molecule: long non-coding RNA, 570 nt
Filed under: Homo sapiens (human)
Lineage: Eukaryota; Metazoa; Chordata; Mammalia; Primates; Hominidae
Description: HSALNT0327130
Source: RNAcentral